CCGAAAAUGUACCGGGGCUAAACAUAUUACCGAAGCUGUGGAUUGUCCUUUGGACAAUGGUAGGAGAGCGUUCUAAGGGCGUUGAAGCAUGAUCGCAAGGACAUGUGGAGCGCUUAGAAGUGAGAAUGCCGGUGUGAGUAGCGAAAGAUGGGUGAGAAUCCCGUCCACCGAUUGACUAAGGUUUCCAGAGGAAGGCUCGUCCGCUCUGGGUUAGUCGGGUCCUAAGCUGAGGCCGACAGGCGUAGGCGAUGGAUAACAGGUUGAUAUUCCUGUACCACCUAUAAUCGUUUUAAUCGAUGGGGGGGACGCAGUAGGAUAGGCGAAGCGUGCGAUUGGAUUGCACGUCUAAGCAGUAAGGCUGAGUAUUAGGCAAAUCCGGUACUCGUUAAGGCUGAGCUGUGAUGGGGAGAAGACAUUGUGUCUUCGAGUCGUUGAUUUCACACUGCCGAGAAAAGUCUCUAGAUAGAAAAUAGGUGCCCGUACCGCAAACCGACACAGGUAGUCAAGAUGAGAAUUCUAAGGUGAGCGAGCGAACUCUCGUUAAGGAACUCGGCAAAAUGACCCCGUAACUUCGGGAGAAGGGGUGCUCUUUAGGGUUAACGCCCAGAAGAGCCGCAGUGAAUAGGCCCAAGCGACUGUUUAUCAAAAACACAGGUCUCUGCUAAACCGUAAGGUGAUGUAUAGGGGCUGACGCCUGCCCGGUGCUGGAAGGUUAAGAGGAGUGGUUAGCUUCUGCGAAGCUACGAAUCGAAGCCCCAGUAAACGGCGGCCGUAACUAUAACGGUCCUAAGGUAGCGAAAUUCCUUGUCGGGUAAGUUCCGACCCGCACGAAAGGCGUAACGAUUUGGGCACUGUCUCAACGAGAGACUCGGUGAAAUCAUAGUACCUGUGAAGAUGCAGGUUACCCGCGACAGGACGGAAAGACCCCGUGGAGCUUUACUGUAGCCUGAUAUUGAAAUUCGGCACAGCUUGUACAGGAUAGGUAGGAGCCUUUGAAACGUGAGCGCUAGCUUACGUGGAGGCGCUGGUGGGAUACUACCCUAGCUGUGUUGGCUUUCUAACCCGCACCACUUAUCGUGGUGGGAGACAGUGUCAGGCGGGCAGUUUGACUGGGGCGGUCGCCUCCUAAAAGGUAACGGAGGCGCUCAAAGGUUCCCUCAGAAUGGUUGGAAAUCAUUCAUAGAGUGUAAAGGCAUAAGGGAGCUUGACUGCGAGACCUACAAGUCGAGCAGGGUCGAAAGACGGACUUAGUGAUCCGGUGGUUCCGCAUGGAAGGGCCAUCGCUCAACGGAUAAAAGCUACCCCGGGGAUAACAGGCUUAUCUCCCCCAAGAGUUCACAUCGACGGGGAGGUUUGGCACCUCGAUGUCGGCUCAUCGCAUCCUGGGGCUGUAGUCGGUCCCAAGGGUUGGGCUGUUCGCCCAUUAAAGCGGUACGCGAGCUGGGUUCAGAACGUCGUGAGACAGUUCGGUCCCUAUCCGUCGUGGGCGUAGGAAAUUUGAGAGGAGCUGUCCUUAGUACGAGAGGACCGGGAUGGACAUACCUCUGGUGUACCAGUUGUCGUGCCAACGGCAUAGCUGGGUAGCUAUGUGUGGACGGGAUAAGUGCUGAAAGCAUCUAAGCAUGAAGCCCCCCUCAAGAUGAGAUUUCCCAACUUCGGUUAUAAGAUCCCUCAAAGAUGAUGAGGUUAAUAGGUUCGAGGUGGAAGUAUGGUGACAUGUGGAGCUGACGAAUACUAAUCGAUCGAAGACUUAAUCAA
This 1758-nucleotide ribosomal RNA is filed under the name Staphylococcus aureus M1292. RNAcentral's name for it is "bacterial LSU rRNA". It matches the Rfam family "Bacterial large subunit ribosomal RNA", at positions 1164 to 2925 of the family's 2925-position model. The record is from RNAcentral. Lineage: Bacteria; Bacillati; Bacillota; Bacilli; Caryophanales; Staphylococcaceae.